Xenia sp. Carnegie-2017 is the source of this 846-nucleotide long non-coding RNA. RefSeq lists it as uncharacterized. The record is from RefSeq and is a predicted model, not a curated record. NCBI's taxonomy places the organism in Eukaryota, Metazoa, Cnidaria, Anthozoa, Malacalcyonacea, Xeniidae. The transcript is spliced from 6 exons.
GUCGACAGUUGAAAUGUCAGUGUAUUUUGUGUAGAGUGGUUGAACUGCUACCGUAGUGAAUCAUAAUGUUUGAUUUAAAUUGUGUACAUGGAAACAGACCGGGGCAGUGCUCCAUCGAAAUUUGAGCGAACUCGAAGAAUCUGUAUGUCCAAUGCUACCAGAGGCGAUCGUGCAGCGUGGAUGACAUACACUGGACUAAUCUUUCUCUAAUCGUUGUACAUGGAAACUGCUAAUAUAAUCGUUGUACAUUGAAACUGCUAAUAUAAGUGAAAUUUGAGCUCCUUAUCAUGUGACAACUAUAAUAGAAGGUAUGCAGAAAUCUUUCAAAAUCAGUACAUGGUAGUACAAUGAAAUAAAUCACAAAUCGGCUGAAGUCCGUUUGGCAGGAUACAUGUGACAUGGAUGGAUUUACAUGCAGGUAGCAUGGUCUAUGUAAGUCUGAAAUUAAUAGGAGAAAGUGUUUUGAAACAUUUUCAGAGAGGACUUAAGUCGAAGUUAAGUGGACCAAAACCAAUUAAAACUCACUGACAAUUGUAAGCAUGGCUUUACUUGCACCAACUUUCAAAUAAAGAAGCCCUAGUACCUCUGGUCUGUGGCAAACCAUGAGGUUUAAAAAUGACCAUACCUCGCUGGCGUGCGGUUGUACUAUUAACGUAGCGACGUAUAAAUGUACCUUCGUUAGAAUGUUAGUGUAAUAAAUCACCAAAAUGCGUUUUCCACGAUGAAAAUGCGAUUGUAACAAUGUUUUGAAAAUAACAAAUCAGCUUAUUUACCAACAUUCUGUUUAUAAUCAUGUAGCGUUAAUUGCAAAUUUAUUGGUGUGAAAUAGAACGUACUUUCAUAGAA